UUUUACUGGAGUGACAUUCUGGGGAUGACGUCAAGUCGCUCAUGGCCCUUAUGGGUAGGGCUUCACACGUCAUACAAUGGUCGGGACAGAGGGUCGCCAACCCGCGAGGGGGAGCCAAUCCCAGAAACCCGGAUCGUAGUCCGGAUCGCAGUCUGCAACUCGACUGCGUGAAGUCGGAAUCGCUAGUAAUCGCGGAUCAGCAUGUCGCGGUGAAUACGUUUCCCCGGGGUUCUUGUACACACCCGCCCGUUCACACCAUGGGAGUGGGUUUUACCAGAAGUAGUUAGCCUAACCGCAAGGGGGGCGAUUACCACGGUAGGAUUCAUGACUGGGGUUGAAGUCGAACAAGGUAGC
RNAcentral lists this ribosomal RNA (354 nucleotides) under Achromobacter sp. Its description in RNAcentral is "bacterial SSU rRNA". It matches the Rfam family "Bacterial small subunit ribosomal RNA", at positions 1155 to 1500 of the family's 1533-position model. The record is from RNAcentral. Lineage: Bacteria; Pseudomonadati; Pseudomonadota; Betaproteobacteria; Burkholderiales; Alcaligenaceae.